CAUAGCGACUAUCGUGGCAUAUCAAUAAGCGGAGGAAAAGUACCUACGCUUAGGAUGUUGACGAGACUGUCGAUCUCAUACAUGACUCUGCGCAUAUCAAUAAGCGGAGGAAAAGAAACUAACAAGGAUUCCCUUAGUAACGGCGAGUGAAGCGGGAAGAGCUCAAAUUUGAAAUCUUCAAGGUUCUACCUUGACGAAUUGUAGUUUAUAGAAGUGUUUUCUGUUAGUGGAGUGGCAAAAGUUCUUUGGAGUAGGACAUCAUAGAGGGUGAGAAUCCCGUAUUUGGUCAUUCCUCCUAGCGUUGUGAUACACUUUCAACGAGUCGGAUUGUUUGGGAAUGCAGUCCAAAAUGGGUGGUGAAUUUCAUCUAAAGCUAAAUAUUGGCGAGAGACCGAUAGCGAACAAGUACCGUGAGGGAAAGAUGAAAAGAACUUUGAAAAGAGAGUUAAACAGUACGUGAAAUUGUCAAAAGGGAAGCGGUUGACACCAGUGUUGUUUUUCCGAAAAUCAAUUACGAAUGUUUUGUUUUUGAGGAGUUAUGACUUCAUCGGCUUGCUCCUUUCUUUACGAAACUUUCUUAAUGCACUUUUCGGUUAACAAGUCAACAUCAAUUUCUUUUGUUGUAAAAGGGUAUGAGGAAGGUGGCUUUCUUUUCGGAGAAAGUGUUUAUAGCCUUGUGCCUCUGCAAUCGGAGAGAUUGAGGUCUGCAGCGUAGAUCCUUCGGGGUUAGAUACGUUUGUGCUAAGUUAUAGCUUUUCAUAGACAACUUGUUGACUAUGUUUAGUCUUGUAGCUUACUCGCUUGUGAUAUUUUACCUACGCUUAGGAUGUUGACGAGACUGUCGAUCUC
Molecule: ribosomal RNA, 849 nt
Filed under: uncultured Neocallimastigales
Lineage: Eukaryota; Fungi; Neocallimastigomycota; Neocallimastigomycetes; Neocallimastigales
Description: partial large subunit ribosomal RNA
Rfam family: Eukaryotic large subunit ribosomal RNA
Source: RNAcentral